GAACGCUGGCGGCGUGCCUAAUACAUGCAAGUCGAGCGAAUGGAUUAAGAGCUUGCUCUUAUGAAGUUAGCGGCGGACGGGUGAGUAACACGUGGGUAACCUGCCCAUAAGACUGGGAUAACUCCGGGAAACCGGGGCUAAUACCGGAUAAUAUUUUGAACUGCAUGGUUCGAAAUUGAAAGGCGGCUUCGGCUGUCACUUAUGGAUGGACCCGCGUCGCAUUAGCUAGUUGGUGAGGUAACGGCUCACCAAGGCAACGAUGCGUAGCCGACCUGAGAGGGUGAUCGGCCACACUGGGACUGAGACA
This 307-nucleotide ribosomal RNA is filed under the name Xenorhabdus szentirmaii. Its description in RNAcentral is "partial 16S ribosomal RNA". It matches the Rfam family "Bacterial small subunit ribosomal RNA", at positions 31 to 326 of the family's 1533-position model. Lineage: Bacteria; Pseudomonadati; Pseudomonadota; Gammaproteobacteria; Enterobacterales; Morganellaceae. The record is from RNAcentral.